Molecule: ribosomal RNA, 468 nt
Filed under: uncultured bacterium
Lineage: Bacteria
Description: partial 16S ribosomal RNA
Rfam family: Bacterial small subunit ribosomal RNA
Source: RNAcentral
GACGAACGCUGGCGGCGUGCUUAACACAUGCAAGUCGAACGGUGAAGCUCCAGCUUGCUGGAGUGGAUCAGUGGCGAACGGGUGAGUAACACGUGAGCAACCUGCCCCUGACUCUGGAAUAAGCGCUGGAAACGGCGUCUAAUACUGGAUACGAGAAGGGUCCGCAUGGGCACUUUCUGGAAAGUUUUUCGAUUGGGGAUGGGCUCGCGGCCUAUCAGCUUGUUGGUGAGGUAAUGGCUCACCAAGGCGACGACGGGUAGCCGGCCUGAGAGGGCGACCGGCCACACUGGGACUGAGACACGGCCCAGACUCCUACGGGAGGCAGCAGUGGGGAAUAUUGCACAAUGGGCGAAAGCCUGAUGCAGCGACGCCGCGUGAGGGAUGACGGCCUUCGGGUUGUAAACCUCUUUCAGCAGGGAAGAAGCGAAAGUGACGGUACCUGCAGAAGAAGCACCGGCUAACUACGUG